RNAcentral lists this ribosomal RNA (509 nucleotides) under uncultured bacterium. Its description in RNAcentral is "bacterial SSU rRNA". It matches the Rfam family "Bacterial small subunit ribosomal RNA", at positions 19 to 518 of the family's 1533-position model. The record is from RNAcentral.
CUGGCUCAGAACGAACGCUGGCGGCGCGUUUAAGCAUGCAAGUCGAGCGGCAAGGGCCUUCGGGCCCCUAGAGCGGCGGACGGGUGAGUAACACGUGGACAAUCUGCCCCCCGGCCCGGGAUAGCCCAGGGAAACCUGGAUUAAUACCGGAUGAGACGGGACCCGCGAUGGCGGGACCCGGGAAAGGCGCUGCGGCGCCGCCGGGGGAUGAGUCUGCGUCCCAUUAGCUAGACGGCGGGGUAACGGCCCACCGUGGCGACGAUGGGUAGCCGGCCUGAGAGGGUGGACGGCCACAUUGGAACUGAGACACGGUCCAGACUCCUACGGGAGGCAGCAGCUAAGAAUCUUCCGCAAUGGGCGAAAGCCUGACGGAGCCGACGCCGCGUGAACGAAGAAGGCCGUGAGGUUGUAAAGUUCUUUUCGGGAGGGGGAACAACCGUGGCAGGGAAUGGCCGCGGGAUGACGUGAAUCCCGGAAUAAGCCCCGGCUAACUACGUGCCAGCAGCGGC